UUAUUGCUAUUCAUUCGGGUGAUUUAUAAAAUUAAUGAUUCACUCAAAUGCUUUUACAGUUUUUUUAUACCUUGCAGCACGAUGAAGCUCAAACAUCCGGGGUUAGAAACUAGAUGGAACCAGUACAAUACAGGAACUGAUCUUAUUUCAGAGGACUUAGAUCUACUAGAUAUUUGGAAAUACCCACCGCUGGACCUGGAUCUAGUGGACCUGAUCUGGACUAAGAAGUCCGACCCUAUUGAUCAGAACAAUCCUGGUCUGACUCAGACAUGAUUUCGUUGAAAAUUAAAGCUGGGGCAGUGAUUCUGCUGUGUGUUCUGCUGCUGGGACUGUUGUACAGCUCAGUCCGGCAGUCUGGCAGAGUUAUAGAUCCCUUUAAACAGAAUCAGAUUUCACCUACAAAAAGGUCAGUAACUCUUUCUUUUUCUGUUCAGUUUAGUCUGACAGGCUGUUUAGUGUCCUUCACACUUUCAUUGUGUUUUAGUGAUGUCAGUUGCCUGAACACUGUGUGCACAAUUAUUAGGCAAGGGGGUAUUUUGAACAUAUAAUUAUUUUUAUGCAUAUUUUCCAACUCCAAGCUGCAAACUUGAAUGCCUAUUAGAUUUAAGCAUAUCAGAUGACGCAUACUUGUGUAAUUAGGGAGGGUGUGGCCUAGGUCAACACCCUGUAGAGGGAGCUGGUCAGUUUGUGUCUUUGAUCAUAGUCGUACUCAGGGCUGACCCAGGCAAUGUUUGAGCCCUAGGCAAGAUUUUAGAUUGGCGCACCCGCCCCCCACACACGUAAACACACACACACACACAAAUUCCUUCCUUCACUCUGAAGGUUACAUUCAUAAGGUAAUAAAACGAGUUUACAAAAAAAAUGUUUUAAAGGAAAUACUGCAUGUAGGCUAUAAAAAAACCAUACAAAUUUAUAAUAAAAAAUAUACCACGAUUCUGAAAUCAAGCUAUACUGACAUUUUCCUCCGAGCCGGAUCGGGGGUAAAUGAUGUUAGUCUUCACAGGUGACUGACCUGCAUAAGCCUAUAGCAGUCAGCCCCCCACAAGAGAUUGUGUGCUUGUGUGUUUCUGUUAAGACACAAUCGAUUUUUCAGUGUGUAUUCCGGCCCGAUUGGAUCACGAGCCAGCCGCGUAGCUUCCCGGCGGUUAACAGUACUUCGCUGCCGGAGCAAACAGCCCGAUUGAUAUCAUUGGUGCGGAAAAGAGGAGUACAGCUUUUCAAGGCGCUUUGCGGUGCUUCUGCCUCCGGUGUGUCUCCGGGGUUAGAGGACGAUGGUGUUACGUUACUUCAUUGGUCAACAUUGCAUGUAUCACGUCUUAGUAAAUCA
Long non-coding RNA from Platichthys flesus (European flounder), 1327 nucleotides. RefSeq lists it as uncharacterized. Lineage: Eukaryota; Metazoa; Chordata; Actinopteri; Pleuronectiformes; Pleuronectidae. The record is from RefSeq and is a predicted model, not a curated record. The transcript has 3 exons.